UACGGGAGGCAGCAGUGGGAAUUUUGGACAAUGGGGGGAAACCCUGAUCCAGCCAUCCCGCGUGUGCGAUGAAGGCCUUCGGGUUGUAAAGCACUUUUGGCAGGAAAGAAACGGCGCAGGAUAAUGCCUCGUGCAACUGACGGUACCUGCAGGAUAAGCACCGGCUAACUACGUGCCAGCAGCCGCGGUAAUACGUAGGGUGCAAGCGUUAAUCAGGUGCUGGGCGUAAAGCGUGCGCAGGCCGGUUCGGAAAGUGUUAAUCCAGAGCUUAACUUUGGAACUGCAUUUUUAACUACCGAGCUAGAGUGUGUCAGAGGGAGGUGGAAUUCCGCGUGUAGCAGUGAAAUGCGCGUAGAUAUGCGGAGGAACACCGAUGGCGAAGGCAGCCUCCUGGGAUAACACUGACGCUCAUGCACGAAAGCGUGGGAGCAAACAGAGUUAGAAGAUACCCUCAUGGAU
This 459-nucleotide unclassified non-coding RNA is filed under the name uncultured Bordetella sp. RNAcentral's name for it is "partial 16S-23S ribosomal RNA intergenic spacer". It matches the Rfam family "Bacterial small subunit ribosomal RNA", at positions 340 to 795 of the family's 1533-position model. The record is from RNAcentral. Lineage: Bacteria; Pseudomonadati; Pseudomonadota; Betaproteobacteria; Burkholderiales; Alcaligenaceae.